Molecule: long non-coding RNA, 822 nt
Organism: Mauremys mutica (yellowpond turtle)
Lineage: Eukaryota; Metazoa; Chordata; Testudines; Geoemydidae
Exons: 4
Source: RefSeq, a predicted model, not a curated record
GGGAAAUAAUUUGAUCUUGCAGCUGUUCUGUCAUGUUUUAUGACAGGUUAUGCUUUUAGCAAGAGAAAGAAAUCAUGCUGACAUUUGACAAGCGAAGAGAUAGCUUUUCUGUGGCUGUCAUGUUAAGAUUUAUAAUGCUAUAGCUACCUUGUAACCUGGGCAAGAUUUAGCAGGACUCUUCUAUUCUAACUAGAUUUUUUUAUAUUACUUUAAAAUAUUUAUACAUGGGGUCAAUUUUUCAAACUGAAAGUUAAUGGGGCUAUGCUCCUAAAUUACAUUUGCAAAUGGAAGUUAGGCUCCUAUGAUAUUUAGCUGCAUUUGAAAAAUGUUACCUGUGGAUUUUACUCUCUCAUCUUCUCUGGAAUAAAAGACUAUCAUCUGGCUACUCUUUUGAUAGAUAUGUGAAUUUAGUGCUUGGGAAAGAUAUUGGCAAGACAACCCUGAAGAGCAAAGUCCCUUCUUAUCCACAGAACAGAUACAGCAUGGGCAGAGGAGAGCAAAGACAAAGUAGCACCUAGAGACCCCACCUCAUUGUGCUAGGCAGCGUACAAAAACAGAGACAGCCACUGCCCUCCAGAGCUUCCAGUCCGAAGGUCACUCAGCAGGUCAAUGGCAGAGCCUGGAACAUAACCCUGAUUUCUUGAGUUCCAGUUAAGGGGCCAUCCACUGGACAAUACUGCCUCUCUCCCAUUUUCAGGUUGACAGUUCCUCAUCUUUCUUCCUGCAUGUCUCCACAAAGAUUUCCCACCCUCCUUCUCUAAGCAGCCCCCACAAACUCUACCCCAGCAAUUCUCCUCUGUCCCCUCAGCUUCCCAGGAUUGU